GGCCUCGUAGCUCAGCUGGUAGCUGGUGUGCCCCAUGCAAGAGCGUAGGCGUCGUCAAUGCGUGGGUUCGAAUCCCACCGAGGCUA
Molecule: transfer RNA, 86 nt
Filed under: Echinostoma caproni
Lineage: Eukaryota; Metazoa; Platyhelminthes; Trematoda; Plagiorchiida; Echinostomatidae
Rfam family: tRNA
About the family: Transfer RNA (tRNA) molecules are approximately 80 nucleotides in length. Their secondary structure includes four short double-helical elements and three loops (D, anti-codon, and T loops).
Source: Rfam by way of RNAcentral